AAAAGGUCAUCUCCUCUGUUCUUCUCCUCCCUCAUCACGUGUCUGCUGCCCUCUGUCCCUGCCCUGCACCCCAGAAACAGCGGGCUGCUCCUUGUUACUGUCCUGGCCCACUGCAGCGCUGGUCAGCCUCUCCAGCUUCCUCAUGCAUCCAGCCGCUCGCAGGGGGUGGUGGGGAGACCCAAUGGCAGAGGCGGAGAGGAGGGCAAUUCUGGAAGCCGUCAGGGCAGAUCUGGGGGCGUCUGGAGGAGUCUAGACUUGAGCCUCAGCUCCCACCCCCGCUGCUUGAGAGCUUUCAUCCAGCCUUCCAUCCAUUGAGGAGUAUUUUCCGAGCUCCUACUGUCUGCCAAGCGCAUCCACUCCCACACCUCCCCGCAAGUUCUGGAGCCAGAACGGGACCUCCAGAGCAAGCACUGUGGGACGGGUGUCCAGAAGAACCCACUUUGGCCAUCACCAACCUCUGCUGCCUGCAGGCUGCCUGGGUCUCAGCCCCAGUACCCAUCCUCACAGCUGCAAAUAAAGGCUCAAUCUUUCAUCGAAGCUUUCCUGCAAUUGUCCUUCUGUCAUCACAGCCCCUGACGCAGAAACCAACCAAGGAGCUGUGGAAACACAGAGGCAGAAAGGUGAGGUCAUCCCGUCGAGCACCCAGUCUCAGGGCCAGAACACGUUCCAUACCCCAGCUGAGUCUCAGAAAGAGAGAGUCCACCCUCCCACAACCUUCUUUGGUUCACUUCUCCCCAGGGUUUGCCCAUAUUCCUCCAGGGAAGUCCUUCCUGGAGGCUAACUUAAGUGCCUCCUGCUGUCACUUUAACUUCUCAAGGGGAUGAAACCCAGAAGAUAGGCUUCUUUUCCCAAGGGGCUCAGGGACUGGGGUGGGGAGUGCUGCAGGUGCAUAAGCGGGAAAACUUUCUCCACCUCUCUCAGCUUUCUUUUCUCUCUUCUCUACACCUCCUUCUCUCCCCUUCCCUCCUCUCUCUUUAGUCUCCCACUCAACUCUCAGCAGCUGGCUGGGAGCCAGCAUUGUUCCUGCCUGGCUCCCCUCUCCCCCACUCCCUCUCUCUGUGCUCCCCCCUCCAGCCAGCCCAGUCCCUGGCAUGCAAUAGCCCCGGCUGGGGGGCAGGGCAGCAUGCAAGACCUUUCCUGCCCCAUCUUCUGCCUCCUCCUCACUCUGCCUUUCCAGUCCCCAUUGAUGGCCCCCACCCAGCAUAAGAGGCUGAGGAGCUUGGGUUACCCAGGCCCCUGGUUAUUUUUAAUGCCACCAGCUCAGGAGAUAAAUAUACCUCCCCCUCCCCCCAGCUGUCCUGGGCAGAGUAACACAUCCCUUCCCAAUUCACUCCCUCUCCUACUGUUCAUCCACUCACCUCAGAGUUGACUCACCCGAACGUCUUCUGCUCACAUUCUCUCCUAGUGGAUCCCUCUAGACCCUGGACUCCCUGCAGCAAGCCAGCUUGACCCCCAAUCUCAGAAAAGGGAUGGGAGGAGAGCCUCAGUGUCUUGGCUCCACCUAGUGGCUUCUCAAGACACCAUGCCUAGCCAAGGGGUUCGGGAGCCUAGCCUUGAUGCCACCCGGCUGGGGCAGGACUUCAGAACACUGCCGAGAGGAGAUGCUGCACAGAAGUUGCUUCUGCUGGUUGCUGAGCCUCCAGGUUGAGUCUGGGCCCUGAGACCCCUCUCCCACUUGGCCAGGCGAGGGGUUGGUGGUCUAGAGCCCACUGCCUCUUCCUCUCUGUGAUUCCACACCAUUCUGUUAGAUCCCACAAUCCAAGGAGGUUCUUGGAAUUCAUUUCCAGGCCUCUGGAAAUAGUUAAGGGCAGGAACUGCAGCUCUCCAGAGAGGACAGAAGGGGAGCCCGGAGAUCAAGAUGGACUGUUGUUCAUUCCCGGCUUGUUAGAGUUCCUGGGAUUCAAGAAGCCAGCAGGCCUCCAGAACAGAUCUCAAAAUGAAUCCCCCAAGAGUGGUUAUCUGGUCUGUGCUUGAACACCCAGGAACAGGGUACUCACUCCCUCUGGUGGCAGCUUGUUCCAGAACAGAGACAAGUAUUGUGACUGGCUCCUUUGGGCUGAGAUUGGUGCCUGUAGCUUCCACCCUUCAGACCUGGUUCUGCCUCCUGGAACCAUAUAAGAAAAGUCUGAACUCUUUUACCCAAGAGCCUUUUAGACACUUAAGAUGGCCCCACUCUAGGUUUUAUUUAUUUUGAAAUAGUUCAUGUACUCGAUCAAUAAUCACAUUCCAGAUGGUGGUGUGCCUCUCAAGCCCCCACAGCUCCCAAGCAUCAAUUCCCUGCUGGCUUCUCUCUCUCUUUUCAUUAUUAUUAUUAUUAUUAUUAUUAUUAUUAUCAUCAUCAUCAUCAUUAUUAUUAUUAUUAUUAUUAUUAUUAUUAUUAUUAUUGUGAUGGAGUCUCGUUCUGUGGUCCAGACUGGAGUGCAGUGGCACGAUCUCGGCUUACUGCAACAUCUGCCUCCUGGGUUCACAUGAUUCUCCUGCCUCAGCCUCCCAAGUAACUGGAACUACAGGCAAAGGCGCCUGCCAUCACGCCCAGCUAAUUUUUGUAUUUUUUGUAGAAAUGGGGUUUCACCAUGUUGGCCAGGCUGGUCUUGAACUCCUGACCUCAAGUGAUCUGAUCGCUUUGGCCUCCCAAAGUGAUGGGAUUACAGGUGUGAGCCACCACACCUGGCCCCUGCUGGCAUCUCUUUCUUCCUCCCAAGUCAGAGCCACUGUCCUCUCCAUUCUCUUUAUUGUUAUUUUGCCUUUUGAAAAUAUUUUUGCAUGUUGGGCAUGGUGGCUCAUACCUGUAAUCCCAGCACUGUAGGAGACUGAGGAGAGAAGAUCACUUGAGUCCAGGAAUUUGAGACCAGCCUGGGUAACAUAGUGGCAAGACCUAUCUCUAUUUUUAAAAACAUUUUAAGCUGGGUGUGGUGUCUCAUGCCUGUAAUCCCAGCACUUUGGGAGGCUGAGGCAGGCGGAUCACCUGAGGUCCGGAGUUUAAGACCAGCCUGACCAACAUGGUGAAACCCCGUCUCUACUAAAAAUACAAAAAUUAGUUGGGCAUGGUGGUACACGCCUGUAAUCCCAGCUACUUGGGAGGCUGAGGUAGGAGAAUCACUUGAACCUGGGAGGUGGAGGUUGCAGUGAGCCAAGAUUGCGCCAUUGCAUUCCAGUCUGGGCAACAAGAGUGAAACUCCAUCUCAAGAACAAAGAAACAAAAAACAUUUUAAGGCCAGGCAUGAUGGCUCACGCCUGUAAUUCCAGCACUUUGAGAGGCCGAGGCGGGUGGAUCACCUGAGGUCAGGAGUUCGAGAUCAGCCUAGCCAAUAUGGUGAAACCCUGUCUCUACCAAAAAAUACAAAAAUUAGCUGGGCAUGGUGGCAGGGGCCUGUAUUGUCAGCUACUUAGAAGGCUGAGGCAGGAGAAUCACUGGAACCCAGGUGGUGGAGGUUGUAGUGAGCCAAGAUCGUGCCAUUGUACUCCAGCCUGGGCAACAGAACGAGACUCCAUCUCAAAAAAAAAAAAUUAGAAAUAAUUUUAAAAAUAAAAAAUAAUUUAAAAAAAUAUUUUGCCGCCAGGUGUGCUGGCUCACGCCUGUAAUCCCAGCACUUUGGGAGACCAAGGUGGGCAGGUUAUUUGACCCCAGGAGUUCUAGACAAACCUGGGCAAUAUAGUGAGACCCCAUCUCUAAAAAAAUACAAAAAUUAGCUGGGUGUGGUGGUGUGCCCCUGUAGUCCCUGCUACUCGGCAGGUGCUGAGGUGGGAGGAUCAUUUGAGCCCAGGAAGGCAAGGCUGCUGUGAUCUUGCCACUGCAUUACAGCCUGAGAGACAAAGCAAGACCGUGUCUAAAAAAUAUAUAUAUAUAUAGACUACAUAUGUAAGUAUCUAUAAAUAACAUAUUGUUUGGUUUGGCAGGGUUUUAGACGUUUAAAUAA
This 3917-nucleotide long non-coding RNA is filed under the name Macaca fascicularis (crab-eating macaque). RNAcentral describes it as "lncRNA (ENSMFAG00000061938.1)". The record is from RNAcentral. Lineage: Eukaryota; Metazoa; Chordata; Mammalia; Primates; Cercopithecidae.